Molecule: small RNA, 287 nt
Filed under: Candidatus Accumulibacter aalborgensis
Lineage: Bacteria; Pseudomonadati; Pseudomonadota; Betaproteobacteria
Description: 5' ureB small RNA
Rfam family: 5' ureB small RNA
Source: Rfam by way of RNAcentral
CUUCGUCGAUCUGUUGCGGACAGAUGAAAUGGAUGUGGCUGUCGAUGCCGCCGGCGGUGACGAUCAUUCCUUCGCCGGCGAUGAUCUCGGUUGCCCCGCCGAUGGCAAUCGUCACGCCGGGCUGGAUGUCGGGGUUGCCGGCCUUGCCGAUACCGGCGAUGUAGCCGCCCUUGAUGGCGAUGUCGGCCUUGACGAUUCCCCAGUGGUCGACGAUCAGCGCGUUGGUGAUCACCGUGUCGGCGACUUCGGCAGCGGGUUUCUGGCCCUGCCCCAUGCCGUCGCGGAUG